CCGCCUGGAGGACCAUCCAUCCGCCGGCUCACAUCACCACGUGAUGUCGCUCUGUGCCGUCACGUGUCCUUCACUCGCGGGCGGGUGGGCGGUUGGUGACGUCAUCUUUGGGCGGGAACAAGAUGAAGAUGUACCGGCGCUGAGACCCCGGACCCUGACCUGCAGCUCCGUUGAGGCAAGUCAGGCCAACGUGUCAUCGUCCAGGUCAAUAUCCAACCUCAAUCACGCACUUUGUUUCCUGGUCGCUAGGUAGCGAGUACUCUGGGAUCAUGGCUGCCUCCUCAUUACAUCAAAACAAUAGCAAGGUUUCCAAGGAAUAAAGGAAAAUCGCAAAAGGGAUCUACCAAGGAAGUUAAUAAUAUAAACGCCCCCCAACUAUCCAGAGUCCUGAGGUACGGAUGCACCGUAGUUAAUAAAGUUCACUCAACUCAGUAGCAGCACCACAGAGGUCUCUCUGCACCCGUUUGAAAAAAAACCAUGCAAGAUAAUCACUGAAAACUACACCUUAAAUCUAAAGUACAUACUUCAUACCUCGAUUUUUAGCUAAAAAAAAAAACAUGAUUUAGUAGGAAGCAAGCUAUGUCAACAAGAGACAAAAUGAUGUUUUUUUUCUAAAUAUUUUGGUUAAGGAGCCUAGAUAGAACCCGUCAUAAUCAGUAAAUGUAAAAUCAUUCAGAGAGAGUUUUAACAUCACGUUUCCAAUGCUUUUACAUUUAUUUAUAAGGUAACUACAUCAUGAAAAUUGUAUGUAAAACUUUGUGAAAAAAUAAAUAGUAACAAAAUGGUA
This is a long non-coding RNA of Leucoraja erinaceus (little skate), 787 nucleotides long. RefSeq lists it as uncharacterized. The transcript is spliced from 4 exons. NCBI's taxonomy places the organism in Eukaryota, Metazoa, Chordata, Chondrichthyes, Rajiformes, Rajidae. The record is from RefSeq and is a predicted model, not a curated record.